UACGUAGGAUGCGAGCGUUAUCCGGAAUUAUUGGGUGUAAAGCGUGUGUAGGCGGGAAAUUAAGUCUAAGGUCUAAGCCCGGAGCUCAACUCCGGAUCUCCUUAGAAACUGAUUUUCUUGAGUAUGGUAGAGGCAAACGGAAUUUCUAAUGUAGCGGUAUAAUGCGUAGAUAUUAGUAGGAACACCAGUGGCGAAGGCGGUUUGCUGGGCCAAAACUGACGCUGAGACACGAAAGCGUGGGGAGCAAAUA
This 250-nucleotide ribosomal RNA is filed under the name uncultured prokaryote. Its description in RNAcentral is "partial 16S ribosomal RNA". It matches the Rfam family "Bacterial small subunit ribosomal RNA", at positions 524 to 774 of the family's 1533-position model. The record is from RNAcentral.